CCCUUAGAUGUUCUGGGCCGCACGCGUGCUACACUGAGUGGAUCAGCGGGUCAGGUUGCGCGAAAGCGUUUCCUAAUCUUGAAAUCCGCUCGUGAUGGGGAUUGACGGUUGCAAUUUUCCGUCAUGAACGAGGAAUACCUUGUAAGCGCGGGUCAUCAUCCCGCGCUGAAUACGUCCCUGCCCUUUGUACACACCGCCCGUCGCUCCUACCGAUUGAAUGUGUUGGUGAGGAGCUCGGAUUGGCAGCAGUUGGUGGUUCGCCACCGGCUAUUGCUGAGAAGUCCUCCAAACCGCCCCAUUUAGAGGAAGGAGAAGUCGUAACA
RNAcentral lists this ribosomal RNA (323 nucleotides) under uncultured eukaryote. Its description in RNAcentral is "partial 18S ribosomal RNA". It matches the Rfam family "Eukaryotic small subunit ribosomal RNA", at positions 1470 to 1796 of the family's 1831-position model. The record is from RNAcentral.